Molecule: unclassified non-coding RNA, 329 nt
Filed under: soil metagenome
Description: partial contains 5.8S ribosomal RNA, internal transcribed spacer 2, and large subunit ribosomal RNA
Rfam family: 5.8S ribosomal RNA (bases 1-120)
Source: RNAcentral
GAUGAAGAACGCAGCGAAAUGCGAUAAGUAAUGUGAAUUGCAGAAUUCAGUGAAUCAUCGAAUCUUUGAACGCACAUUGCGCCCCUUGGUAUUCCGAGGGGCAUGCCUGUUCGAGCGUCAUUAUAACCCCUCAAGCUCAGCUUGGUGUUGGGGCCUGCUGCACUGGCAGCCCUUAAAAUCAGUGGCGGCGCCAUCUGGCUCUAAGCGUAGUAAUUCUUCUCGCUAUGGAGUCCUGGUGGAUGCUUGCCUUCAACCCCCAAUUUUUCUAUGGUUGACCUCGGAUCAGGUAGGGAUACCCGCUGAACUUAAGCAUAUCAAUAAGCGGAGGA